CCUACGGGUCGCACCAGUGGGGAAUAUUGCACAAUGGGCGCAAGCCUGAUGCAGCCAAGCCGCGUGUGUGAAGAAGGCCCUCGGGUUGUAAAGCACUUUCAGCGGGAAGGAAGGCGGUGAGGUUAAUAACCUCACCGAUUGACGUUACCCGCAGAAGAAGCACCGGCUAACUCCGUGCCAGCAGCCGCGGUAAUACGGAGGGUGCAAGCGUUAAUCGGAAUUACUGGGCGUAAAGCGCACGCAGGCGGUCUGUCAAGUCGGAUGUGAAAUCCCCGGGCUCAACCUGGGAACUGCUUUCGAAACUGGCAGGCUAGAGUCUUGUAGAGGGGGGUAGAAUUCCAGGUGUAGCGGUGAAAUGCGUAGAGAUCUGGAGGAAUACCGGUGGCGAAGGCGGCCCCCUGGACAAAGACUGACGCUCAGGUGCGAAGGCGUGGAGAGCAAACAGGAUUAGAUACCCUCGUAGUC
RNAcentral lists this ribosomal RNA (465 nucleotides) under uncultured bacterium. Its description in RNAcentral is "bacterial SSU rRNA". It matches the Rfam family "Bacterial small subunit ribosomal RNA", at positions 338 to 795 of the family's 1533-position model. The record is from RNAcentral.